CACCCGGCCGGAUCCCGUGGGGGGAAUCCGCUCCGGGGAUAUGGGAAGCGCCCCGCUCGCCGAC
Non-coding RNA from Streptomyces tsukubensis NRRL18488, 64 nucleotides. The record is from Rfam. Lineage: Bacteria; Bacillati; Actinomycetota; Actinomycetes; Kitasatosporales; Streptomycetaceae.